UACAGAGGGUGCGAGCGUUGUCCGGAAUCAUUGGGCGUAAAGGGCGCGUAGGUGGCCCGGUCAGUCCGUGGUGAAAGCGCGGGGCUCAACCCUGCGUCGGCCAUGGAUACUGCCGCGGCUGGAGCACUGUAGAGGCAGGCGGAAUUCCGGGUGUAGCGGUGGAAUGCGUAGAGAUCCGGAAGAACACCGACGGCGCAGGCAGCGUCCUGGCCGCUUGCUGACACUGAGGCACGAAAGCUGGGGGAGCAAACAGG
Molecule: ribosomal RNA, 254 nt
Filed under: uncultured bacterium
Lineage: Bacteria
Description: partial 16S ribosomal RNA
Rfam family: Bacterial small subunit ribosomal RNA
Source: RNAcentral